Long non-coding RNA from Fundulus heteroclitus (mummichog), 691 nucleotides. RefSeq lists it as uncharacterized. NCBI's taxonomy places the organism in Eukaryota, Metazoa, Chordata, Actinopteri, Cyprinodontiformes, Fundulidae. The record is from RefSeq and is a predicted model, not a curated record. The transcript is spliced from 4 exons.
GGCAUCCUGAAGAGUAUUUAAAGCACUUGUAGCUUGUUUUGUCAUUUAUUUGAUUUCCAUCUCAACAUCAGGUCUACGGUCAUCCGUCCAGCAGCAAUCAUGGUCGCCCAUGUCAGACCCACCGCAGGACUGCUUCUCCUCUUCACUCUGCUGACUCUGAUUAACCUCUCAAGUUCAAUGCUUGACAAAGAAAACCUGGAUAUUUUACAAGGAUACUUCCAAGGUGGAAUAAAAGAAGCAGCAAAAAAGAAGGCACAACUGAAGAAUGAACUUACAUGGGAGGAAAACUACAAUAAAGAACUAUUUGAGGAAAUUUAUCCCAUUCUGGGGCAACUGAUAGCUGUGACUGACCGGUCCACAUUACUGCGAGAUCUGAAGGGCGUCGUCAUAAACUUUUUAGCCCAGAAGAAAACUGACUUUGCCAAAGGAAAGAAAGCUUUUGAAAAUGAAAUUGAGGAAAUUUGGGAUAUUGUAGAGCUCCUAGAAUAUAGCCACGAUGAGCUGUAGCUUGUCUCAAUGCUUACUGUCUUUUUCUCUUGCUUGUUUUUUUUUCUCAAUUCUGAUGAAACUGAUAAUCGGUGAAGAUAAUGGUGAAAGAUUAAAUAAGUAGAAUAUAUAAUGUGAAAUUGUGAUGAAUAAGUUGUUUCUGGCUAAUGAUUCUGUUUGUGAGCAAGUGCAUUAUAAUCAAAAU